CCUACGGGAGGCAGCAGUGAGGAAUAUUGGUCAAUGGGCGGGAGCCUGAACCAGCCAAGUCGCGUGAGGGACGACGGUCCUAUGGAUUGUAAACCUCUUUUGUCGGGGAACAAAGGCGCCCACGGGUGGGCGGAUGAGUGUACCCGAAGAACAAGCAUCGGCUAACUCCGUGCAAGCAGCCGCGGUACUACGGAGGAUGCGGUCGUUAUCCGGAUUUAUUGGGGUUAAAGGGGGCGUAGGCGGACAGUCAAGUCAGCGGUAAAAAUGCGGUGCUCAACGCCGUACAGCCGUUGAAACUGGCAGUCUUGAGUGGGCGAGAGGUAUGCGGAAGGCGUGGGGGAGCGGUGAAAUGCAUAGAGAUCACGCAGAACUCCGAUUGCGAAGGCAGCAGACCGGCGCCCGACUGACGCUGAGGCACGAAAGCGUGGGUAUCGAACAGGAUUAGAUACCCCGGUAGUC
This 459-nucleotide ribosomal RNA is filed under the name uncultured bacterium. RNAcentral's name for it is "partial 16S ribosomal RNA". It matches the Rfam family "Bacterial small subunit ribosomal RNA", at positions 338 to 795 of the family's 1533-position model. The record is from RNAcentral.